RNAcentral lists this ribosomal RNA (402 nucleotides) under Pseudomonas sp. RNAcentral's name for it is "partial 16S ribosomal RNA". It matches the Rfam family "Bacterial small subunit ribosomal RNA", at positions 355 to 774 of the family's 1533-position model. Lineage: Bacteria; Pseudomonadati; Pseudomonadota; Gammaproteobacteria; Pseudomonadales; Pseudomonadaceae. The record is from RNAcentral. RNAcentral also lists the same sequence under 3 other names.
UGGGGAAUAUUGGACAAUGGGCGCAAGCCUGAUCCAGCCAUGCCGCGUGAGUGAUGAAGGCCUUAGGGUUGUAAAGCUCUUUUGUCCGGGAAGAUAAUGACUGUACCGGAAGAAUAAGCCCCGGCUAACUUCGUGCCAGCAGCCGCGGUAAUACGAAGGGGGCUAGCGUUGUUCGGAAUCACUGGGCGUAAAGCGCACGUAGGCGGACCAUUAAGUCAGGGGUGAAAGCCUGGAGCUCAACUCCAGAACUGCCUUUGAUACUGAUGGUCUCGAGUUCGGAAGAGGUUGGUGGAACUGCGAGUGUAGAGGUGAAAUUCGUAGAUAUUCGCAAGAACACCAGUGGCGAAGGCGGCCAACUGGUCCGAUACUGACGCUGAGGUGCGAAAGCGUGGGGAGCAAACA